AACAGUCUAUGUGGCAUCAAACAUUUAUUCUAGUGUCAAAAUUGACUAUAAAGUGUAAAUAGGACAAUUUUGGUCAUAAAGUCAGUCUCGUCUAAAAUGGAGUUUGGAACCUCACUGCGUUACAACAAAUCAAUUAAGAUUGGAUUACAAUUAUGUCAACAAAUCAUGCCCCUUUUGCCAAGCUCCACGUGCAAAUCACCCUUCCGCUCACUUUGCUUCCCUUCAUUGAAUGUGGGCUCUGUUGUUUCAUCACCCCUAACAAACGUGUUCAAAUAAUCGCUGCCGUUUGAGACUGAAAAGCCCUAUAAGGAUUGAUCAUGCAAUGCAUGCUUCCAGCAGGAUGCACAGCCAACAACUAUGGUUUGCAUGCCUUGCCGAAGGACCCUAUCAUGCGGAAUAGGUGGUUGGAGUUCGUUGGUCCCCAGUGGUGACAAAGUGCACAGUUGGGUGCCAGACUGAUCCUCUGGUCAAGAACGGAUGCUGGGACCUACCAGAAAGAGCAAAGCUUGUCAGGCAAGACCUCAGAAUAAAAGUGUAAUGCGACACAAGUACACCUUGUGACACCUCCUCCGUUGUUGCCAGAGUCUCCCACGACUCCUAUUAAAAGGACACGCCAUCAUGAGGCCUCUGAUAGUGAUCUGAGUUACUGCCCUGAUGACACAGACGGCUUCAUCAACAACGACAGGCCCUCCCAGUCAACACCACCUCAUAAGAUUGCCUGCUGCAGUUGUUGGAGAGAUGUCCAGUUUGCAGCCGAACAUGCAGCAUAGAGAAGACCAGCGAAGGGGCCCUCAUCAGCAUCAUGAAUGGAACAGUCAGCCACAUGUUGGCAAGUAUCCGACCAGCAACCUUCACCUGUCAGCGGCAACAGCUUUCACAGGCUCAUCAUUUGUACAAAUACAGAAGUAUCUUUGAUGAGGGGCCAGGAGGUGAUCUACGACUGCCAUGCCCAUCAAUGGGGCGCUGGCAAAGACCUUACCUCCAGCCUCACCUCUUGCCCGCUCACCAACAGUCGUCGAUGGGGAGACCAGAAUUAGAAACAUGUAUGGAGCCAGCACAUGGAGACUUGCAAGAUG
Molecule: long non-coding RNA, 1076 nt
Organism: Coregonus clupeaformis (lake whitefish)
Lineage: Eukaryota; Metazoa; Chordata; Actinopteri; Salmoniformes; Salmonidae
Exons: 6
Source: RefSeq, a predicted model, not a curated record